Molecule: ribosomal RNA, 874 nt
Filed under: uncultured archaeon
Lineage: Archaea
Description: bacterial SSU rRNA
Rfam family: Archaeal small subunit ribosomal RNA
Source: RNAcentral
CGGUUGAUCCUGCCGGAGGUUACUGCUAUCGGAGUUCGAUUAAGCCAUGCGAGUCUAAAGGUUUCUUCGGAAACCUUGGCGGACUGCUCAGUAACACGUGGAUAACCUACCCUUGGGACUGGAAUAACCCCGGGAAACUGGGGAUAAUACCGGAUAGAUCAGGGAUGCUGGAAUGCACCUUGAUCCAAAGCUCCGGCGCCCAAGGAUGGGUCUGCGGCCUAUCAGGUUGUAGUGGGUGUAACGUACCUACUAGCCGACGACGGGUACGGGUUGUGAGAGCAAGAGCCCGGAGAUGGAUUCUGAGACACGAAUCCAGGCCCUACGGGGUGCAGCAGGCGCGAAACCUUUACAAUGUGCGAAAGCAUGAUAAGGGAACUCCGAGUGCCAGUAUCUAAUACUGGCUGUCCUUGUGCCUAAACCGCACAAGAUAGCAAGGGCCGGGUAAGACCGGUGCCAGCCGCCGCGGUAACACCGGCGGCCCGAGUGGUAGCCGCUAUUAUUGGGUCUAAAGGGUCCGUAGCCGGUUCGAUAAGUCCUCUGGGAAAUCUGGUUGCUUAACAAUCAGACUGCCAAGGGAUACUGUCGAACUUGAGACCGGGAGAAGUAAGAGGUACUUCAGGGGUAGGAGUGAAAUCUUGUAAUCCCUGGGGGACCAUCUGUGGCGAAGGCGUCUUACCAGAACGGGUCUGACGGUGAGGGACGAAAGCUGGGGGCGCGAACCGGAUUAGAUACCCGGGUAGUCCCGGCUGUAAACGCUGCUCGCUGGUGUUAGGUACGGUCCGACCGUAUCUGGUGUCGGAGGGAAGCCGUUAAGCGAGCCACCUGGGAAGUACGGUCGCGAGACUGAAACUUAAAGGAAUUGGCGGGGGAGCAC